This 1479-nucleotide ribosomal RNA is filed under the name alkali sediment metagenome. RNAcentral's name for it is "bacterial SSU rRNA". It matches the Rfam family "Bacterial small subunit ribosomal RNA". The record is from RNAcentral.
AGAGUUUGAUCCUGGCUCAGGAUGAACGCUGGCGGCGUGCUUAACACAUGCAAGUCGAACGGAUGCUUUGGGAAACUGGAGCGUCAGUGGCAAACGGGUGAUUAACACGUGGGUGACCUACCUCAAAGUGGGGAACAACAGACCGAAAGGUUUGCUAAUACCGCAUACGCUCGCCGAUUCAUUUUGGCGAGCAAAGCCGUAAGGCGCUUUGAGAGGGGCCCGCGUCCCAUCAGGUAGUUGGUGAGGUAAUAGCCCACCAAGCCGAUGACGGGUAGCUGUUCUGAGAGGAAGAUCAGCCACAAUGGAACUGAGACACGGUCCAUACUCCUACGGGAGGCAGCAGUGAGGAAUAUUGGGCAAUGGGCGCAAGCCUGACCCAGCGACGCCGCGUGGGUGACGAAGGCCUUCGGGUCGUAAAACCCUUUUGGCAGGGACGAGUGAGGACGGUACCUGUCGAAUAAGUCUCGGCUAACUACGUGCCAGCAGCCGCGGUAAAACGUAGGAGGCGAGCGUUAUCCGGAUUUACUGGGCGUAAAGCGCGCGUAGGCGGUUGGGUAAGUCUGACGUGAAAGCCCCUGGCUCAACUGGGGGAGGCCGUUGGAUACUGCCCGGCUUGAGGGUGAUAGAGGAGAGUGGAAUUCCCGGUGUAGCGGUGGAAUGCGUAGAGAUCGGGAGGAACACCAGUGGCGAAAGCGGCUCUCUGGCUCACCCCUGACGCUGAGUGCGCGAAAGCGUGGGGAGCAAACGGGAUUAGAUACCCCGGUAGUCCACGCCCUAAACGAUGAGGGCUGGGUGUUGGCAGGGUUUCCUGUCAGUGCCGAAGCUAACGCGUUAAGCCCUCCGCCUGGGGACUACGAACGCAAGUUUAAAACUCAAAGGAAUAGACGGGGGCCCGCACAAGCAGCGGAGCGUGUGGUUCAAUUCGAUGUGACACGAAGAACCUUACCAGGGUUUGACAUGUAUGUGGUAGGAAACUGAAAGGGGCCCGACCCGCAAGGGAGCAUGCACAGGUGCUGCAUGGCUGUCGUCAGCUCGUGCCGUGAGGUGUUGGGUUAAGUCCCGCAACGAGCGCAACCCCUUUCGCUAGUUAUAAGUGUCUAGCGAUACUGCCGGAUUAACUCCGGAGGAAGGCGGGGAUGACGUCAAGUCAGCAUGGCCUUUAUAUCCUGGGCUACACACACGCUACAAUGGGUGCUACAGAGCGUUGCCAAGCCGCGAGGCGGAGCUAAUCGCACAAAAGCAUCCUCAGUUCAGAUUGCAGGCUGCAACUCGCCUGCAUGAAGUCGGAGUUGCUAGUAAACGCGCGUCAGCUAUAGUGCGUUGAAUGCGUUCCCGGGCCUUGUACUCACCGCCCGUCACGUGAUGGAAGUCGGUAACACUUGAAGUCGGUGACUGAACCGCAAGGACAGAGCCGCCGAGGGUGGGACUGGUAACUGGCACGAAGUCGUAACAAGGUAGCUGUACCGGAAGGUGCGGCUG